GAGAAAGUGAAACACAAAUUUUUAGACAUACAGGAGCUGUAAAGCUGACAAUUUUCCAAAUUCUGCUUCACGAUGUUUCUGAAGUCCUUGCUAAUCUGCCAGAUUCUGGCCGUCCUGCUGGUGGAGGACAGCAUGGGGCUGGUCUGCUUCGAAUGCAACAGGGAGAAAUGCCCGCCAGAACCCAGUUGUCUUGGAGGAAAAGUAAGGGGGGUAUGCAACUGCUGCGUCAAGUGUGCCAAGCUGAAGAACGAGCAAUGCGGAGGAAUCUACAACUUGCUUGGUGUCUGUGAUCAGGGCCUUAAGUGUGUAAGAAGAAGACCAGUCCCUUACAACAAAGAAGGAGUGUGUCAAGAAAUGUCUAUCGAGGAGCUGAAGCAGCUGAGGAAAUGAGAUAUGAAGACAUGAAUGAGGCAAGUCCGAGGGUGUGGCAGAGACCUAGAAGAUCAAUGAUUUACUGCGAGGAUACGUAUAUUGUUUUUUCUUAGCAUCUUAACAAAUGUGUCUGUGCAUUAUUGUAACCCACACAGCAGAUUAUACUGUAUACUCUCUCUUAAUAAAUCCUCCUGCAUUCUAAUGUCAUUACAGCAAUAUACUAAAUACUAUAGUACAUUAUUAUAAACUAGCCUUCUAAGGGAACCUUAAGGUCUGCUCUAUCCCUAUUAUGCUCAGUUUGUCUGACUGUAUGACUAUUGCAUGUCCUUGUAUCUCCUAAUACAAUAUUUUGCAUCCACUGUU
Molecule: long non-coding RNA, 735 nt
Organism: Clarias gariepinus (North African catfish)
Lineage: Eukaryota; Metazoa; Chordata; Actinopteri; Siluriformes; Clariidae
Exons: 2
Source: RefSeq, a predicted model, not a curated record